RNAcentral lists this ribosomal RNA (305 nucleotides) under uncultured bacterium. Its description in RNAcentral is "bacterial SSU rRNA". It matches the Rfam family "Bacterial small subunit ribosomal RNA", at positions 335 to 638 of the family's 1533-position model. The record is from RNAcentral.
UCUCCUACGGGACGCAGCAGUGAGGAAUAUUGGUCAAUGGGCGGUAGCCUGAACCAGCCAAGUAGCGUGAAGGAUGAAGGUUCUAUGGAUUGUAAACUUCUUUUAUAAAGGAAUAAAGUGAGGCACGUGUGCCUUUUUGUAUGUACUUUAUGAAUAAGGAUCGGCUAACUCCGUGCCAGCAGCUGCGGUAAUACGGAGGAUGCGAGCGUUAUCCGGAUUUAUUGGGUUUAAAGGGUGCGUAGGCGGAAUGCCAAGUCCGCGGUAAAAUCGCGGGGCUCAACCUCGCUCCGCCGUUGAAACUGGCG